This 774-nucleotide ribosomal RNA is filed under the name uncultured Neocallimastigales. Its description in RNAcentral is "partial large subunit ribosomal RNA". It matches the Rfam family "Eukaryotic large subunit ribosomal RNA", at positions 20 to 609 of the family's 3401-position model. The record is from RNAcentral. Lineage: Eukaryota; Fungi; Neocallimastigomycota; Neocallimastigomycetes; Neocallimastigales.
CAUCACUACGCUAGAUGCAUAUCAAUAAGCGGAGGAAAAGAAACUAACAAGGAUUCCCUUAGUAACGGCGAGUGAAGCGGGAAGAGCUCAAAUUUGAAAUCUUCAAGGUUUUACCUUGACGAAUUGUAGAUUAAAGAAGUGUUUUCUGUUGAAGUUUUGGUAAAAGUUCUUUGGAAUAGGACAUCAUAGAGGGUGAGAAUCCCGUAUUUGACCAUUAUUUUCAGCUGUGUGAUACACUUUCAAAGAGUCGGAUUGUUUGGGAAUGCAGUCCAAAAUGGGUGGUAAAUUUCAUCUAAAGCUAAAUAUUGGCGAGAGACCGAUAGCGAACAAGUACCGUGAGGGAAAGAUGAAAAGAACUUUGAAAAGAGAGUUAAACAGUACGUGAAAUUGUCAAAAGGGAAGCGUUUGACACCAGUGUUGUUUUCUCGAAAAUCAAUUAAAAAAGGCCGGAUUUUGUGUUGUAUUGACCUUAAAAGCUUUCUUCACUCUUUUCUUGUCUUUUUUAAUGCACUUUUCGUUUAACAAGUCAACAUCAGUUUCUUUUGUCGUAAAAGGGUCAUUGGAAGGUGGCUUUCUUUUCGGAGAAAGUGUUUAUAGCCUUUGAUCUCUGCAACCGGAGAGACUGAGGUCUGCAGCGUAGACUCUUCGGGGUUAGAUACAUUUGUGCUAAGUUAUAGCCUUUCAUAGACAACUUGUUGACUAUGAUCAGUCAUGUAGCUUACUCGCUUAUGCUAUUGUACCUACGCUUAGGAUGUUGACGAGACUGUCGAUCUC